AACGAACGCUGGCGGCAUGCCUAACACAUGCAAGUCGAACGAGACCUUCGGGUCUAGUGGCGCACGGGUGCGUAACGCGUGAGAACCUGCUAUUAGGUUCGGAAUAACUCCCCGAAAGGGGUGCUAAUACCGGAUAAUGUCUUCGGACCAAAGAUUUAUCGCCUUUGGAUGGGCCCGCGUUGGGUUAGCUAGUUGGUAGGGUAAAAGCCUACCAAGGCGACGAUCCAUAGCUGGUCUGAGAGGAUGAUCAGCCACACUGGGACUGAGACACGGCCCAGACUCCUACGGGAGGCAGCAGUGGGGAAGAUUGGACGAUGGGCGAAAGCCUGAUCCAGCAAUGCCGCGUGAGUGAUGAAGGCCUUAGGGGUGUAAAGCUCUUUUACCCGGGAUGAUAAUGACAGUACCGGGAGUAUAAGCUCCGGCUAACUCCGUG
RNAcentral lists this ribosomal RNA (433 nucleotides) under uncultured bacterium. RNAcentral's name for it is "partial 16S ribosomal RNA". It matches the Rfam family "Bacterial small subunit ribosomal RNA", at positions 29 to 507 of the family's 1533-position model. The record is from RNAcentral.